This 465-nucleotide ribosomal RNA is filed under the name uncultured bacterium. Its description in RNAcentral is "partial 16S ribosomal RNA". It matches the Rfam family "Bacterial small subunit ribosomal RNA", at positions 28 to 507 of the family's 1533-position model. The record is from RNAcentral.
GACGAACGCUGGCGGCGUGCUUAACACAUGCAAGUCGAACGGAAAGGCCCUGCUUGCUGGGUACUCGAGUGGCGAACGGGUGAGUAACACGUGGGUGAUCUGCCCUGCACUUCGGGAUAAGCCUGGGAAACUGGGUCUAAUACCGGAUAGGAGCCAUUUUUAGUGUGAUGGUUGGAAAGUUUUUUCGGUGUAGGAUGAGCUCGCGGCCUAUCAGCUUGUUGGUGGGGUAAUGGCCUACCAAGGCGGCGACGGGUAGCCGGCCUGAGAGGGUGGACGGCCACAUUGGGACUGAGAUACGGCCCAGACUCCUACGGGAGGCAGAAGUGGGGAAUAUUGCACAAUGGGCGCAAGCCUGAUGCAGCGACGCCGCGUGGGGGAUGACGGCCUUCGGGUUGUAAACUCCUUUCGCUAGGGACGAAGCUUUUUGUGACGGUACCUAGAUAAGAAGCACCGGCUAACUACGUG